Molecule: ribosomal RNA, 382 nt
Filed under: Salmonella enterica subsp. enterica serovar Infantis
Lineage: Bacteria; Pseudomonadati; Pseudomonadota; Gammaproteobacteria; Enterobacterales; Enterobacteriaceae
Also listed under: 9 other names
Description: partial 23S ribosomal RNA
Rfam family: Bacterial large subunit ribosomal RNA
Source: RNAcentral
AAUCCAUAGGUUAAUGAGGCGAACCGGGGGAACUGAAACAUCUAAGUACCCCGAGGAAAAGAAAUCAACCGAGAUUCCCCCAGUAGCGGCGAGCGAACGGGGAGGAGCCCAGAGCCUGAAUCAGCAUGUGUGUUAGUGGAAGCGUCUGGAAAGGCGCGCGAUACAGGGUGACAGCCCCGUACACAAAAGCGCAUGUGCUGUGAGCUCGAUGAGUAGGGCGGGACACGUGGUAUCCUGUCUGAAUAUGGGGGGACCAUCCUCCAAGGCUAAAUACUCCUGACUGACCGAUAGUGAACCAGUACCGUGAGGGAAAGGCGAAAAGAACCCCGGCGAGGGGAGUGAAAAAGAACCUGAAACCGUGUACGUACAAGCAGUGGGAGCA